This 69-nucleotide transfer RNA is filed under the name Forcipiger flavissimus. Its description in RNAcentral is "tRNA-Met". It matches the Rfam family "tRNA". From Rfam's summary of the family: Transfer RNA (tRNA) molecules are approximately 80 nucleotides in length. Their secondary structure includes four short double-helical elements and three loops (D, anti-codon, and T loops). Further hydrogen bonds mediate the characteristic L-shaped molecular structure. tRNAs have two regions of fundamental functional importance: the anti-codon, which is responsible for specific mRNA codon recognition, and the 3' end, to which the tRNAs corresponding amino acid is attached (by aminoacyl-tRNA synthetases). tRNAs cope with the degeneracy of the genetic code in two manners: having more than one tRNA (with a specific anti-codon) for a particular amino acid; and 'wobble' base-pairing, i.e. permitting non-standard base-pairing at the 3rd anti-codon position. Lineage: Eukaryota; Metazoa; Chordata; Actinopteri; Chaetodontiformes; Chaetodontidae. The record is from RNAcentral.
AGUAAAGUCAGCUAAUAAAGCUCUUGGGCCCAUACCCCAAAUAUGUUGGUUAGAGUCCUUCCCUUACUA